This is an RNA transcript of Dromaius novaehollandiae (emu), 350 nucleotides long. RefSeq lists it as uncharacterized. Lineage: Eukaryota; Metazoa; Chordata; Aves; Casuariiformes; Dromaiidae. The record is from RefSeq and is a predicted model, not a curated record. The transcript is spliced from 3 exons.
GCCGCCACCGCCCCUUCCUGUCAUGGCCGCCGGCGGGCUGCGGGCGCGGGCCUGAGUCCCGCGGAGCUGACUGCAGCCGCCUGUCCGCGCGCCGCCGCGGGCCGCCCGGCCUCGGCGAGCCGCGCUCCGUCUCGGCAGGAGCGCACUUUACCGAAGAUACUUGGUGUGCGACCAGGGGCAAGCCACUUACAUCUUCUUUCCUUUGGUCCCUUCAUGGUUGUCUAAACAGGAUUCUUUUGAAGUUGGAGAAAACAGAAAAGGCGUUUGUCCGCAAAUAUUACCAUAGUACCUGCUUUCUACAGCUCAUUUCUUCGCACUUGCCUUGUGCGCUCAGCUGGUCAGCAGCAUGC